GCCUUCGUGGCGUAAUGGUCAGCACACUCGGUGCGUAUUCGAGAGGUCCGAGGUUCGAGUCUCGACGAAGGCA
RNAcentral lists this transfer RNA (73 nucleotides) under Stegodyphus mimosarum. It matches the Rfam family "tRNA". Rfam says of the family: Transfer RNA (tRNA) molecules are approximately 80 nucleotides in length. Their secondary structure includes four short double-helical elements and three loops (D, anti-codon, and T loops). Lineage: Eukaryota; Metazoa; Arthropoda; Arachnida; Araneae; Eresidae. The record is from Rfam by way of RNAcentral.